GCCAGGUGUGGUGGUGCACACCUGUAGUCCCAGCUACUCAGGAGGCUGAGGCAGGAGGACCUCUUGAGCCCAGGAGUUCGAGGCUGCAGUGAGCUAUGAUCACACCACUGCACUCCAGCCUGGGUGACAGAGUGAGACUCUAUCUCUA
This 148-nucleotide small RNA is filed under the name Pongo abelii (Sumatran orangutan). RNAcentral describes it as "Metazoan signal recognition particle RNA (ENSPPYG00000030631.1)". Lineage: Eukaryota; Metazoa; Chordata; Mammalia; Primates; Hominidae. The record is from Rfam by way of RNAcentral.